GGGGAUAUAGCUCAAUUGGGAGAGCGCAGCGUUCGCAACGCUGAGGUCGGGGGUUCGAAUCCCCCUAUCUCCACCA
RNAcentral lists this transfer RNA (76 nucleotides) under Chloroflexota bacterium. RNAcentral describes it as "Chloroflexi bacterium tRNA-Ala". It matches the Rfam family "tRNA". From Rfam's summary of the family: Transfer RNA (tRNA) molecules are approximately 80 nucleotides in length. Their secondary structure includes four short double-helical elements and three loops (D, anti-codon, and T loops). Lineage: Bacteria; Bacillati; Chloroflexota. The record is from RNAcentral.